CAGUCGCCGCGGGAAUACGAAGGGGGCUAGCGUUGCUCGGAAUUACUGGGCGUAAAGGGCGCGUAGGCGGAUAGUUUAGUCAGAGGUAAAAGCCCAGGGCUCAACCUUGGAACUGCCUUUGAUACUGGCUAUCUUGAGUUCGGGAGAGGUGAGUGGAAUGCCGAGUGUAGAGGUGAAAUUCGUAGAUAUUCGGCGGAACACCAGUGGCGAAGGCGACUCACUGGCCCGAUACUGACGCUGAGGCGCGAAAGCGUGGGGAGCAAACAGGAUUAGAUACCCCGGUAGUCCCUGUCUCUUAUAC
This 301-nucleotide ribosomal RNA is filed under the name uncultured bacterium. Its description in RNAcentral is "partial 16S ribosomal RNA". It matches the Rfam family "Bacterial small subunit ribosomal RNA", at positions 509 to 807 of the family's 1533-position model. The record is from RNAcentral.